RNAcentral lists this long non-coding RNA (546 nucleotides) under Chinchilla lanigera (long-tailed chinchilla). RNAcentral describes it as "lncRNA (ENSCLAG00000026734.1)". The record is from RNAcentral. Lineage: Eukaryota; Metazoa; Chordata; Mammalia; Rodentia; Chinchillidae.
AUGAGAAAGGUAUCAAACAGCCUUGAGACUUACACCAAGAGACCAGAAAAAAGAGCUGACAGGGAAGACACAGAGAGAAAGCCAAGUCCACAAACGGUGCAUCAGCUGACCAUUUUGUUCAACCUCUCUGGGCCUCAUUUGGAAAACAAGACAAUUCAAAUAAAAAGAUCUUUGCAAGUUACGUUCACAUAUCCUGGAAGACCACAGCUGUACGGACUUCAGCGGAGAUGUUCUACACUGAUUUUCCAGAUUCCAUAACUAGAUUAUUAAAUCCUUAAAGACAAAGCAAGCAUCUGACUCAUCUCUUGUAGCUUCGUAACACACAGGAGGUGUUUAAUCCAAGCCACCAGAAUGCAGUCUCCUAAAACAUUCUGAGGUCCAGCCUAGAGACAAAAGCUACUCAGCCGCAAAAUAUAAACAAGAAUUUACUCUGAGAUGAGCCCCUGGAAAAUGGAGCGGGCACAGGAGACUGGUGCUUGGGAAUCCAAAAAUUACUCAAAGGACAAGCCCUACUUGAGAAAAGAAAGUGUCAGCCUCCCAUCAAUC